Molecule: ribosomal RNA, 253 nt
Filed under: uncultured Erysipelothrix sp.
Lineage: Bacteria; Bacillati; Bacillota; Erysipelotrichia; Erysipelotrichales; Erysipelotrichaceae
Description: partial 16S ribosomal RNA
Rfam family: Bacterial small subunit ribosomal RNA
Source: RNAcentral
UACGUAGGUGGCAAGCGUUAUCCGGAAUUAUUGGGCGUAAAGGGAGCGUAGGCGGUUUAUUAAGUCUAUGGUGAAAGUUCGGGGCUCAACCCCAGUGAUGCCAUAGAAACUGGUAGACUUGAGUACAAGAGAGGUUAGUGGAAUUCCAUGUGUAGCGGUAAAAUGCGUAGAUAUAUGGAGGAACACCAGUGGCGAAGGCGGCUAACUGGCUUGUAACUGACGCUGAGGCUCGAAAGCGUGGGGAGCGAAUAGG